This 253-nucleotide ribosomal RNA is filed under the name uncultured bacterium. Its description in RNAcentral is "partial 16S ribosomal RNA". It matches the Rfam family "Bacterial small subunit ribosomal RNA", at positions 524 to 776 of the family's 1533-position model. The record is from RNAcentral.
AACGUAGGAGCCAAGCGUUAUCCGAAUUCACUGGGCGUAAAGCGCGUGCAGGCGGCUGGGUAAGUUGGAUGUGAAAUCUCCUGGCUCAACUGGGAGAGGCCGUUCAAUACUACCUGGCUUGAGGGCGACAGAGGGAGGUGGAAUUCCGGGUGUAGUGGUGAAAUGCGUAGAUAUCCGGAGGAACACCAGAGGCGAAGGCGGCCUCCUGGGUCGUACCUGACGCUGAGAUGCGAAAGCUAGGGGAGCAAACGGG